RNAcentral lists this non-coding RNA (20 nucleotides) under Arabidopsis thaliana (thale cress). The record is from RNAcentral. Lineage: Eukaryota; Viridiplantae; Streptophyta; Magnoliopsida; Brassicales; Brassicaceae.
GGAAGGGACGCAUUUAUUAG